CGCGGAACGAGGAAGUUGCUUCAACGAGUUUGGACACUUGGGAGUUUUUUCUACCUCAGAGCCUAGGCAGGAGGAACCUCUAUAAAUAAGUGCCAAGAUAAAAAGUUGGAGGCAUUAUGCUGUAUUGGUGCUGGGCAUUACCUCUGGACCAUCUUUCCUUUGGAGUCUUCUUUCUCAAGUAAACAGCGGGACAACCUUGUUUAUGCAGCCAACUUCCCUGCAGUAUGUCCACAUGNCUAACCUUCCAAUUAUUUGCUGGUUUGAAAAGCGAUUCAGCCUACAAUCUUACCAGGAAGUGUGCCAUCUUGGCUUGGUAGUUCCUGAUACUUCCACUAGAGGGCAGCAUACU
RNAcentral lists this long non-coding RNA (349 nucleotides) under Salvator merianae (Argentine black and white tegu). RNAcentral describes it as "lncRNA (ENSSMRG00000002399.1)". The record is from RNAcentral. Lineage: Eukaryota; Metazoa; Chordata; Lepidosauria; Squamata; Teiidae.